CUCAAAGAUUAAGCCAUGCAUGUAUAAGUAUAAACGAUUUUAUCGUGAAACCGCGAACGGCUCAUUAUAACAGCUAUAAUUUACUUGAUCUUGACUAUCCUACUUGGAUAACUGUGGUAAUUCUAGAGCUAAUACAUGCACCAAAGCUCUGACCUUACGGAAAGAGUGCAUUUAUUAGAACAAAACCAAGCGACCCUGGUCGUUUUUUGUUGACUCAGAAUAACUCAGCUGAUCGCACGGUCUUGCACCGGCGACGUGUCUUUCAAGUAUCUGCCUUAUCAACUUUCGAUGGUAGUGUAUCUGACUACCAUGGUGGUGACGGGUAACGGAGGAUAAGGGUUUGACUCCGGAGAAGGGGCCUGAGAAAUGGCCACUACGUCUAAGGAUGGCAGCAGGCGCGCAAAUUACCCACUCUCAGAACGAGGAGGUAGUGACGAAAAAUAACGAGACCGUUCUCUAUGAGGCCGGUCAUCGGAAUGGGUACAAUCUAAACCCUUUAACGAGUAUCUAUGAGAGGGCAAGUCUGGUGCCAGCAGCCGCGGUAAUUCCAGCUCUCAAAAUGCAUAGAAUUAUUGCUGCGGUUAAAAAGCUCGUAGUUGGAUCUGUGCUAAGGACUUGGUCCACCUUCGGGUGCGCACUAAGCUCCAUGGCUUUUCUGCCGGUUUUCCCGUCGUGGCUUUAAACGGCUGUGGCGGGUGGCUGGUGAUUUUACUUUGAACAAAUCAGAGUGCUCAAAACAGGCGUUUAGCUUGUAUGCUUUUGCAUGGAAUAAUAGAAGAGGAUUUCGGUUCUAUUUUAUUGGUUUUAUAGACUGAAAUAAUGGUUAACAGAGACCAACGGGGGCAUUCGUACCGCUGCGUGAGAGGUGAAAUUCUUGGACCGCAGCGAGACGAACUACAGCGAAAGCAUUUGCCAAGAAGGUCUUCAUUAAUCAAGAACGAAAGUCAGAGGUUCGAAGGCGAUCAGAUACCGCCCUAGUUCUGACCGUAAACAAUGCCAACUAGCGAUCUGCCGGUGGAAUUUUUGCCCUGGUAGGGAGCUUCCCGGAAACGAAAGUCUUCCGGUUCCGGGGGAAGUAUGGUUGCAAAGCUGAAACUUAAAGGAAUUGACGGAAGGGCACCACCAGGAGUGGAGCCUGCGGCUUAAUUUGACUCAACACGGGGAAACUCACCCGGCCCGGACACCAUAAGGAUUGACAGAUUGAUAGCUUUUUCAUGAUUUGGUGGAUGGUGGUGCAUGGCCGUUCUUAGUUCGUGGAGCGAUUUGUCUGGUUUGUUCCGAUAACGAGCGAGACUCUAGCCUACUAAAUAGUCUGCACAUUGCUUCUGUGUUGCAGUACUUCUUAGAGGGAUUUUCGGUGUACAGCCGCACGAGAUUGAGCAAUAACAGGUCUGUGAUGCCCUUAGAUGUCCGGGGCUGCACGCGCGCUACACUGGCGAAAUCAGCGUGCUUGUCCUUUCUCGAAAGAGAUUGGUAAACCAAUCAAAAUUUGCCGUGAUUGGGAUCGGAAAUUGCAAUUAUUUUCCGUGAACGAGGAAUUCCAAGUAAAUGCGAGUCAUCAACUCGCGUUGAUUACGUCCCUGCCCUUUGUACACACCGCCCGUCGCUGCCCGGGACUGAGCCAUUUCGAGAAAUUUGGGGAUUGCCGAUUAGCGGUCUUUCGGGAUUGCUUUUUGGUGAGAACCAAUUUAAUCGCAGUGGCUUGAACCGGGC
RNAcentral lists this ribosomal RNA (1713 nucleotides) under Anguina tritici. Its description in RNAcentral is "SSU rRNA". It matches the Rfam family "Eukaryotic small subunit ribosomal RNA". Lineage: Eukaryota; Metazoa; Nematoda; Chromadorea; Rhabditida; Anguinidae. The record is from RNAcentral.